RNAcentral lists this long non-coding RNA (1140 nucleotides) under Equus caballus (horse). Its description in RNAcentral is "lncRNA (ENSECAG00000053509.1)". The record is from RNAcentral. Lineage: Eukaryota; Metazoa; Chordata; Mammalia; Perissodactyla; Equidae.
UCUCUGCGGUCCCAGGAGGAGGCUGCAGACUCCUGGGGAGCAUGUCCAUCCCCAGUGCCCAGGACACUGGUGAGCAAUGGGCUGCAGAGUGAGACAGGAGUCGUAUCAUGAAGGACCUUGAAUAUUUUUGCUGAGGACCUCAGGCUCCAUCUUGUGUGAGAUGGGGAGCCACUGAAGGGUUUUGAGCAGGAGCAUGCCAUGGUCACACCUGUGCCUUAAACACGUCCCUCUGGCUGGCAAGGAGAGGGCGGGUGGUUGGGGGAGAGUCUGAAGGCAGAGAGAUGAGUUGGGGGCUGUGCAAUAAUCCAGGACUAGGCUGUAGCUAUGAGAGUGCUGGCAGGGGGGAGCGGACAGAAUGUGGGAUGUUUACUAGAUCCAGCUGACCAACUGUGGCGCUGGCAGCGGGUGAGGGAGAAAGGAGCAGAGACCCACUCUCAGGUUUCGGCCCAGUAGCUGGCUAGGUGUUCGUGCUGUGUGCAGAGACGGGGACCAACUACAGGAACUGGAUGGGGAGAAAUACUGGGCCUAGUUCUGGAGACAUGGACUUCGAGGUGUCCAAGGGACAUCCAGGUGGGAAUGCCUUGUAACUAAACAGAUGGGGGCGGGAGAAAAAGAUCUGAGCCAAUGGGAUGGAGCCAAGAGUCACGAGGUGGGGUCAAUGCCACAUGUGUGGCUGAACUUGCCCAAAGCGAAAGAGAAGGUCAAGGACAGAGCCUGGGAGAAGCUCGCCUGUGGUGGCUUGUGUGACUGCUCAGCAAAUACCACCCCCUUCUGUGGGGGGCACACUGGGGUUGGGGCUGCCCAUGGGACCUGGGGGCAGAUGUGAUGCUUGCAAGGAUUGGCUUGGCCUCUGGCACUCCUUUCCCUUACCCUGGAAAGAGCACACCAGGCAGCCGCUGCCCUGCAGACUGGGCCCCGGCACGAGAGACCCCCAGAGAAGACCUGAGCUGCACCCUGGAGCAGAGCCGCCCGGAUGCCUGCAGACCUGUGUGGGAGAAAUAAAUGGCUUUUAUUACAAGCCACUGAGAUUUGGGGCUGUUUGUUAUGUAACAUUGUAUCGGCAAUAGCUUGACUAAUAAAAUUUUAAGAGGAGGCUGGAGAAAAAGAAAUCCCGGAAAGGGUAACAGGAAGAAGAAUGGG